AACGAACGCUGGCGGCAUGCCUAACACAUGCAAGUCGAACGAGACCUUCGGGUCUAGUGGCGCACGGGUGCGUAACGCGUGGGAACCUGCCCUUAGGUUCGGAAUAACUCCCCGAAAGGGGUGCUAAUACCGGAUAAUGUCUUCGGACCAAAGAUUUAUCGCCUUUGGAUGGGCCCGCGUUGGAUUAGCUAGUUGGUAGGGUAAAAGCCUACCAAGGCGACGAUCCAUAGCUGGUCUGAGAGGAUGAUCAGCCACACUGGAACUGAGACACGGCCCAGACUCCUACGGGAGGCAGCAGUGGGGAAUAUUGGACAAUGGGCGAAAGCCUGAUCCAGCAAUGCCGCGGGAGUGAUGAAGGCCUUAGGGUUGUAAAGCUCUUUUACCCGGGAUGAUAAUGACAGUACCGGGAGAAUAAGCGCCGGCUAACUCCGUG
This 433-nucleotide ribosomal RNA is filed under the name uncultured bacterium. Its description in RNAcentral is "partial 16S ribosomal RNA". It matches the Rfam family "Bacterial small subunit ribosomal RNA", at positions 29 to 507 of the family's 1533-position model. The record is from RNAcentral.